GAUCAUGGCUCAGGAUGAACGCUGGCGGCGUGCCUAACACAUGCAAGUCGAGCGAGAAAUCUUGGAAUGAGACUUCGGUUAAGUGAAGAGAUGGAAAGCGGCGGACGGGUGAGUAACGCGUAGGCAACCUGCCUUAUGCAGAGGGAUAGCCAUUGGAAACGAUGAUUAAAACCUCAUAAAGCCAUUUUAUCACAUGGUGAGAUGGCCAAAGAUUUAUCGGCAUAAGAUGGG
Molecule: ribosomal RNA, 231 nt
Filed under: uncultured bacterium
Lineage: Bacteria
Description: partial 16S ribosomal RNA
Rfam family: Bacterial small subunit ribosomal RNA
Source: RNAcentral